This 21-nucleotide microRNA is filed under the name Picea abies (Norway spruce). RNAcentral describes it as "pab-miR11536". Lineage: Eukaryota; Viridiplantae; Streptophyta; Pinopsida; Pinales; Pinaceae. The record is from miRBase by way of RNAcentral.
UGAGGACAUGUGAUUUGGAUG